UUGCACGCUGGCGGCAGGCCUAACACAUGCAAGUCGAACGGUAACAGGAAGCAGCUUGCUGCUUUGCUGACGAGUGGCGGACGGGUGAGUAAUGUCUGGGAAACUGCCUGAUGGAGGGGGAUAACUACUGGAAACGGUAGCUAAUACCGCAUAACGUCGCAAGACCAAAGAGGGGGACCUUCGGGCCUCUUGCCAUCGGAUGUGCCCAGAUGGGAUUAGCUAGUAGGUGGGGUAACGGCUCACCUAGGCGACGAUCCCUAGCUGGUCUGAGAGGAUGACCAGCCACACUGGAACUGAGACACGGUCCAGACUCCUACGGGAGGCAGCAGUGGGGAAUAUUGCACAAUGGGCUCAAGCCUGAUGCAGCCAUGCCGCGUGUAUGAAGAAGGCCUUCGGGUUGUAAAGUACUUUCAGCGGGGAGGAAGGGAGUAAAGUUAAUACCUUUGCUCAUUGACGUUACCAGCAGAAGAAGCACCGGCUAACUCCGUG
This 489-nucleotide ribosomal RNA is filed under the name uncultured bacterium. RNAcentral's name for it is "partial 16S ribosomal RNA". It matches the Rfam family "Bacterial small subunit ribosomal RNA", at positions 30 to 507 of the family's 1533-position model. The record is from RNAcentral.